UUCUGUGUUCCUCAGGCUGAGGUAGUAGGUUGUAUAGUUCAGAGUGACACCACAGGAGAUAACUGUACAGCCUCCUAGCUUUCCCUGAGGAAACACAA
RNAcentral lists this microRNA precursor (98 nucleotides) under Poecilia formosa (Amazon molly). RNAcentral's name for it is "Danio rerio let-7a-4 stem-loop (ENSPFOG00000021290.1)". The stretch from base 12 to 88 matches the Rfam family "let-7 microRNA precursor family". Rfam says of the family: This family represents the microRNAs (miRNA) let-7 and mir-98. let-7 was identified from a study of developmental timing in C. elegans, and was later shown to be part of a much larger class of non-coding RNAs termed miRNAs. Lineage: Eukaryota; Metazoa; Chordata; Actinopteri; Cyprinodontiformes; Poeciliidae. The record is from RNAcentral.